GACGGAGGUCCCUAGCGUUGUUCGGAAUUAUUGGGCUUAAAGCGCGUGUAGGCGGAGCGGUAAGUACCUUGUGAAAUCCCCGGACUCAAUCCGGGAACUGCUCGGUAUACUGCCGUUCUCGAGGCAGGUAGGGGUCACUGGAACCUUAGGUGGAGCGGUGAAAUGCGUAGAUAUCUAAGGGAACGCCUGUGGCGAAAGCGGGUGACUGGGCCUGUCCUGACGCUGAGACGCGAAAGCGUAGGGAGCAAACGGG
This 253-nucleotide ribosomal RNA is filed under the name uncultured bacterium. Its description in RNAcentral is "partial 16S ribosomal RNA". It matches the Rfam family "Bacterial small subunit ribosomal RNA", at positions 524 to 776 of the family's 1533-position model. The record is from RNAcentral.